UACGGAGGGAGCUAGCGUUGUUCGGAAUUACUGGGCGUAAAGCGCACGUAGGCGGUUACUCAAGUCAGAGGUGAAAGCCCGGGGCUCAACCCCGGAACUGCCUUUGAAACUAGGUGACUGGAAUCUUGGAGAGGCGAGUGGAAUUCCGAGUGUAGAGGUGAAAUUCGUAGAUAUUCGGAAGAACACCAGUGGCGAAGGCGACUCGCUGGACAAGUAUUGACGCUGAGGUGCGAAAGCGUGGGGAGCAAACAGG
This 253-nucleotide ribosomal RNA is filed under the name uncultured bacterium. RNAcentral's name for it is "partial 16S ribosomal RNA". It matches the Rfam family "Bacterial small subunit ribosomal RNA", at positions 524 to 776 of the family's 1533-position model. RNAcentral also lists the same sequence under 1 other name. The record is from RNAcentral.